This 253-nucleotide ribosomal RNA is filed under the name uncultured bacterium. RNAcentral's name for it is "partial 16S ribosomal RNA". It matches the Rfam family "Bacterial small subunit ribosomal RNA", at positions 524 to 776 of the family's 1533-position model. The record is from RNAcentral.
GACAGAGGGUGCAAACGUUGUUCGGAAUUACUGGGCGUAAAGCGAGUGUAGGCGGUUUGGAAAGUCGGAUGUGAAAGCCCCGGGCUCAACCCGGGAAGUGUACUCGAUACUACCAAGCUAGAGUAUCGGAGAGGUUGGCGGAAUUCUCGGUGUAGAGGUGAAAUUCGUAGAUAUCGAGAGGAACACCGGCGGCGAAGGCGGCCAACUGGACGAAUACUGACGCUGAGACUCGAAAGCGUGGGGAGCAAACAGG